Molecule: ribosomal RNA, 693 nt
Filed under: Triticum aestivum (bread wheat)
Lineage: Eukaryota; Viridiplantae; Streptophyta; Magnoliopsida; Poales; Poaceae
Description: partial small subunit ribosomal RNA
Source: RNAcentral
AUGGAGAGGGAAGUCGGAACUGAUGGAAACAAGGAUGGUGAAGAUGAUAUAGAGGAAGAGGAUGACGAAAAAGAAGGGGAUGCAGGAAAGGAAGACAAUGACGAUGAAGAAGGUGAUGGGCACGAUAAAGAGAAGGAAGAUGAUGGGCAGGGAAAGGAUGAUGUUGAUGAUGAUGAUGGUGGAGGUUGCAACGGUGACUCAGGCGACAAUGGUGGCUCCUACGGUAAUGAGGAUGUUGCAGCUGAAGAACAAGACAGCGACGAUGAUGAACAAAGCACGCUGCAAUUUCUAAUUGAAAAGAAGAGAUAUAGUAAGCCAAAAGGACUGCAUGAGGCAGCUAACAUCUCUAUCAAAGAUCUUGUGAUGACUGAGUUUAAAACUGCUGCUUCCCCAAAGCCACGCUUCCCUGUUUUUGAAGUAAAAGAAAUGUUGGAUCUUGAUUACAGAUCCGUUGCAGCCGAAGCUAGGAUUAUUUUCGAAGAGCUGUUGAGGGCAGAAGAUUUGGAUAUGGUCUUCACAUUUAAACCUGAAGAAAUAUGCCCAAAGCCGAUUCGCCAGAAAAUAAUGAGAGAAAUUGGUGCUCUAAAUGAAGUUGCAGAACCAAAGAAAGUUGGUCAAAACCAACUACCACCACUUCCGCCAUCAAAGAAGAUGAAGAAAACUUUCAGUUUCAUAUUAGAGCCAUCUAUAUGA